CGCGUCCCCUCACGGCGCUGGCGCAGCGAUGGCGGAGGCCGUGGAGCGCACUGACGAGCUGGUCCGCGAGUACCUGCUCUUCCGCGGCUUCACGCACACACUGCGGCAGCUGGACGCCGAGAUCAAGGCGGACAAGGAGAGGGGCUUCCGGGUGGACAAGAUUGUGGACCAGCUGCAGCAGUUAAUGCAGGUGUAUGAUUUGGCUGCUCUUCGGGAUUAUUGGAGCUACCUGGAGCGUCGGCUCUUCAGCCGCUUGGAGGAUAUAUACAGACCCACCAUCAACAAACUGAAAACUAGCCUGUUCCGCUUUUAUCUUGUCUACACAAUCCAGACAUCAGCAGUUCUGUAGAGAGUUUAAAUAUGAAGGAAUGGCAGGACGGACUCAGGGCACUUCUACCCAACAUUAACAUCAACUUUGAUGGACUGCCCAAUUCUGCCUCCCUCUCCAACACCCACCACAGUGCACCAGCGUCCAACACUGCCACCACCGACAGCCUGAGUUGGGACGGCCCUGGCAGCUGGACAGACCCAGCCAUCAUCACAGGUAUUCCAGCAUCUUCAGGAAACAGUUUAGACUCUCUUCAAGGUGACAGUCCUCCACACUGGCUAAAAUCCCUUCAGGCCCUCACAGAGAUGGACGGCCCCGGUGCUGCUCCGUCACAAACCCACCACGGCGCCCCCUUCAGCACACAGAUCCCUCUGCACAGAGCCAGUUGGAAUCCCUACCCUCCUCCUUCCAAUCCUUCCAGCUUCCACUCCCCACCUCCAGGCUUUCAGACGGCCUUCAGACCCCCCAGCAAAACCCCCACAGAUUUACUACAGAGUUCAACACUGGACCACCCUUAGGGAAGGAGGAGAAACCAUUAGAAAAUGCAGGAUUUGUCCCACCCUGUUUUCUCCCUCUCAGCCCACCCACGGCUCCCUCCUCAUCUCUUAUGUUCUCAAGAAUCCAGUUCCUGAUCAGUUUUCUUUCUCCGUACCCCCAGAUGCAGUGCGAUCACAGGGUCAUUACCAUCUGUUUUUUAUUGUAAAAGUUUCUGUUGAUCCAGCAUUUGAGCGACACUGUUGAAUGUUUCUUCAAAAUGCCUUUUCAAGGAGGAAAAAAAGAGAAAUCAAAGGGCAGUCUGGAUACUUAGAAAAUUACUGUUUGUCUGUUGAGUGUAAUAAUGACAUAAUCUGCUUAGCAGAAAAUGACGAUUAAUCCAUAGGAAAGGUCAAGUAGACGCAUUAUCAACUGCAGAAGUUUGAAAACCAGGUUAAUUGAAGUGAGAUUGCUAAGUAAGUGCAUGGGGAAAACAGUGGUCCUGGCAUCCAUCUUGUCUUCAGCUUAUCACUAUUGUAGGGAAAGUGCUUUUAAUUUAAUUUUUAAUUCUUUUGGUAAGUUGAUGGAGAGGAUUUGAUUGUGUUGUUAAGCAAAAGAAUUUAUUGGAUGUUAAUAGAAAGACAAAUUGAUCUGUAUUAGUAACUGGCCUAUUGCUAAAGAGGUUAUCAGGAGGGGAGAAGUGAUUUUUUAAAGGAGAAAAAAGUUUUGGCUUUAGAUUUAAAGUAAAUUUAAACAUUUUAAAGAAAAUUAUUCACAGAUUUAAUACCUAUCCAUAAUUUAAAAGCCAAAAUAUAAGUGAUUUCUUCAGUCUUUCUCCUCUGUCAGAAUCUUGUUUUCUUUUACCUUAAAUUCCCCUGAGGAGGCCACUCUGAGACAGCACUGCUGUGGGGCCAUCUGCUCACCCUCAGGAGCAAAUCUCUGACCUCCUUGCCUGCAGCUUUUACUUAACCCUGUAGUUUCUGGACAUUUGUGCAGUAUUGAAAAGACAGGAGAAAAGAAAACAGAAACAUGGUUAUAACUUGACGCUAAAACUAAAAACAAGAAAAUGUAUCUUUUCUUCAGAAUUAAAACUAAAAUAAUAAAUAAAACAGAAAACUUGAUGAUGACCCUUGGGUUGUUCU
RNA transcript from Diceros bicornis minor, 1944 nucleotides. It is a transcript of the gene named WD repeat-containing protein 91-like, with no coding region annotated. The record is from RefSeq and is a predicted model, not a curated record. NCBI's taxonomy places the organism in Eukaryota, Metazoa, Chordata, Mammalia, Perissodactyla, Rhinocerotidae. The transcript has 4 exons.